AGACUGUGGCACUUGUGAUUACUGCAAGGAGGGGGAAAUAAAAAUACCUCGGAUCAGUUGAGAUGAUCCAGGCAGGCCUUUCUGGGAAAUAGCUGGAUCUGAUUCAUUUCAAGGGACUCAGGAAGCUGGUAGAGCUGUUUUCAGUACAGCUGUUGGGGAGUGGGGAGAAGAGAGAUCCGCCGCCUGCAUCCAGCACCGCACACUCUGUCCCUCCACUGAAUGACAUUUGUCUGCACUAAGAAGGACCUGAACUGCUUCAUGGAGGAGUGAAACAUUGAGAUCCCAGCCCACCCCUCACCAGCCUGGGAGCAGCCAGGGCACUAAAGGCACUUAAAGACUCCUGGGCACAAAACAUGCCGUAUCACAUCAGACCCCAUCAGCCAUUCCCCUGUGUUACUGCUGCCCUAGCCAUCCCCCAGAGAACUCUGUUAUGGACUGGGACCCAUCCUACAGCCACCAGACACAGAGGUGGGCUGUGCCAGGAUUUCCCUCCUGCCUCAACAGCCAGGAUGCGAGAGCACGGCCACUGCCAAGGGCUCCCCACCUAAGGGCAGAGGGAAAGGUGACCAGUCUGCUCUGAAGCAUUCGCUAGAAACCAAAAUUAAAAAGACUGUAUAACUUUAUGGAAAAAAAAAAGAGAAGACGUUUUGCAGAAGAACAACUGUUUCAAUCAAAAAAAAAAAAUUUUGGUUGGAAAGUUCUCCCCACAUAAAUUGGAAUUUUCAUCUUGGGGCAGGCAAGUGGUCUGGAUGGUGUGAAACACUGCAAAAGGAGACAAGUGGAAAAAUGAGCUAAGCCAUGGCAGAAUAAUCUUGUGGUGUAUCCACUGGGACUCUCCUCCCCGACGCCAGCAUAAACACACUUCACAUGAUGCUGUUCUCAGGCAGGAGAUUAUCGGCAUGCUCACACGGGCAUGAAGAGGAGGUCUGCUCCACAAUGAGACACCUUGAACAAACAGCACGCUGAACCCUCACCCCUGCCGAGGAUCGCUGAGCGCAGGUCAGCCCCGCUCCGGCUCCACCAGCACCACCUCGGCACAGAAGUUACAGCUCUGCCCUCAGCAGAGCCAACCGGUGGGAAAGCGUUUGUACCAGCGAGCAUGAAAACAUCUGCACUCGUGCAGGGGAGGCUGGUAUUGCUGUGAUUGGAGUUAUACCGUUGUGGCCAUUUCAGUGUGUGUGUCCCCCCCCCCGCCCCCGAAAAGUGCUCUCCAAAUCAAAGUUGUUAUAGCACUACAAAAACAACAUCCAGAACAUAUACCUGUUUAUAGGGGGCAAGAAUUAAAUCAAAGUGCACUGCCUUCGCCUUGCAGAAAGCUGUUGAUGUGCUGGAAUUAAACCCAAACAAUCUCCCAGGCAGUAAAACAGUAUCUUCAGUUAUUAAGGAAGAAUACAGCUUUCUAAAGCCUAUAUUAUAUGACAAAGCAUUGAGGGUAGAAGAUGGCCAGAGCCAACGGCAGGAGAUUCAUGCCAUCUUCAUGGACCCCAUACAGCUACUUACAGAGCAAUUACACGUCUACUAGAGGGAAAAAAUUUGAAUGUGCUGUAAUUAAGAGGCAGCAGGACUACUAUUGGUUUUCUUCUAUUUACACGAGUGGGUUCCCAGUCACUCUCCAUCCAUCCUCUUUCUCCCACUCCCGGCCUACGUCUGAGCCCCUCACUGCCCGCCCCCCCCCUCUCCCCACCGCAUUCCCAGUGGCAGGGACUUACGGGGAAUGUGUCAAAACACAUUUCAGAGUAAUAUGGCUGGAGAGCUGCAUUCAGAUCGGCAUGUUCUAAUGUGUCUGACAACAUUAUAUUCCGAUCCAGCUCUUCACGUAACCUUCAAUUUAUUUCUAAGCCCCUGUGUUUAUUUAACCGAAUCUGUCUUCCGUCGUUUGGAGCAGUAGCACUCAACCUUUAAACAGCCCAAGAGCCACUUCAACCUCGAACAGAUGCAGAGAGCUCCCGAGUCAGGGAGUCACAAAAGAGCCCGGCGCAUUGUGCCGCGGGCGCUGAGGCGCACCGAGCCCCGCUGUAUUCACUGUGCCGGCACCGGCACCUCGGCAGAGGUUGUGGCUUUGCUCAGCGAGGGAGCAGGUGUUUUGCAGCAGGAGAGAGUGGGCUCCAGCACAGCAGGAGCUGGGGGGGGCAUUGCGAGACCUCUGGAGCCAGCCGGUUGUAAGAUGGGGCUUCAAUGCAGUGCCAUGGCUCUCUGCUGCAGCCUCGGCGAGCCAACCCUUCGUGUUUGGGCAUGCUAAGGUGUCCUUCGCAUGGUUACAGCUCCGGUUGUGCACAGACAGCCCCGGUGUACCAGCACCAAGCCACAGGCAGCUUUCGCAGAGGUGAGUUGCAGCAUCAUCGCCUCCCUCUAACAACAGAGGAGAUCGCUGCUUCCUCAAUCAUUCACGAGCAUCACCGCAUCCUUGCGAUACGCUUGUCUCAGGAGAGGACCCCUUUCCCUAGUAUUUCUGCUACCCAGUAUUUCCCAGCUUCAAGACCAGUGGGAGCACCCAGUGGGCCUCACCGAUGUGCCGACAUCCAGGAGCUCCCCCUGUCCCUGCCAGGGCACCCGGGCACAAUCCGUCAGGAUUUCGGUCAUUUGCUGCUACAUUUCCUGAGAGCACAGAAUCACCAGGAGGCCCAAAAAGCUGGGAAUCCUCCCCAAGUGUUUUCCAAAGCCAGGGGUUUUGGGCACUGGGAUCAGCCCUUCCUUCCACAAGAGGACAGGAAAACUUCAGCUGUGACAAACGCACCCACCCGUGUCUGCGCACUUGUCACCCUGAGAAAAAAAAAAUGAUGAUUUCCUAUUGCUUCUUCUUUCAGUUCACCCAGGUUUUGUGCUGGCUUUGGGUUCACUAUGUAUCAUUUAGAAACCUAAUGCAAUUUAUAGGAAAAAACCUUGGCUUGCUUUUCUGUUUACUGUUCCCAAGCAUAAUGAAAAUGUUAAAAUGCUAAGUCACUUGACACCUGCCACCCCAGUAAUGCACUUGCUUUACUUUUUUUGUAGUUACAAGAGUUGGUGAAUAUAUUUAAAGCUCUUCAAUUCACUUAAGUUGAGAAAGACAUGCUGCAUAUUCAAUGAAUUGCCACAGUUGUGACAUGUUCCAUAUCCUCCGCUGUGUUAAGUCUCUUCAUUUAUUCUUUUACAGACAGUCACAGAAUUUAUUCUGUUAUGAAUAAAAUUAUCUCUGAUGUCCUUCAGAAAAUAAUGUAAGGCUUUAGACUGAAUGCAAGAAGUUCAAGGAAAAUAUUCCAGGUGUCCAGGACAUGAAGAACAAGUCAUUGAACCUCUUUCAUUGAGCUGUCAUCUCUUCCUCCGGCUUGCGUGCUGCACCCCCGGUUCCAGACAGGCUUCUGCCUUAGUGAAUAAUGAUUAACAGCACUGAAGCCUUUAGCCUGCUGAAUUCCAGUCCUGUGCACUGGAGUCAUGUGGGCUACUGCUUAAAAAAAAUAAAAUAAUGCCUGUGGCUCAAA
Long non-coding RNA from Tyto alba (common barn owl), 3455 nucleotides. RefSeq lists it as uncharacterized. Lineage: Eukaryota; Metazoa; Chordata; Aves; Strigiformes; Tytonidae. The transcript is spliced from 2 exons. The record is from RefSeq and is a predicted model, not a curated record.